RNAcentral lists this ribosomal RNA (2155 nucleotides) under Campylobacter jejuni. RNAcentral describes it as "partial 23S ribosomal RNA". It matches the Rfam family "Bacterial large subunit ribosomal RNA", at positions 1 to 2160 of the family's 2925-position model. The record is from RNAcentral. Lineage: Bacteria; Pseudomonadati; Campylobacterota; Epsilonproteobacteria; Campylobacterales; Campylobacteraceae.
AGGUAAGCUACUAAGAGCGAAUGGUGGAUGCCUUGACUGGUAAAGGCGAUGAAGGACGUACUAGACUGCGAUAAGCUACGGGGAGCUGUCAAGAAGCUUUGAUCCGUAGAUUUCCGAAUGGGGCAACCCAAUGUAUAGAGAUAUACAUUACCUAUAUAGGAGCGAACGAGGGGAAUUGAAACAUCUUAGUACCCUCAGGAAAAGAAAUCAAUAGAGAUUGCGUCAGUAGCGGCGAGCGAAAGCGCAAGAGGGCAAACCCAGUGCUUGCACUGGGGGUUGUAGGACUGCAAUGUGCAAGAGCUGAGUUUAGCAGAACAUUCUGGAAAGUAUAGCCAUAGAGGGUGAUAGUCCCGUAUGCGAAAAACAAAGCUUAGCUAGCAGUAUCCUGAGUAGGGCGGGACACGAGGAAUCCUGUCUGAAUCCGGGUCGACCACGAUCCAACCCUAAAUACUAAUACCAGAUCGAUAGUGCACAAGUACCGUGAGGGAAAGGUGAAAAGAACUGAGGUGAUCAGAGUGAAAUAGAACCUGAAACCAUUUGCUUACAAUCAUUCAGAGCACUAUGUAGCAAUACAGUGUGAUGGACUGCCUUUUGCAUAAUGAGCCUGCGAGUUGUGGUGUCUGGCAAGGUUAAGCAAACGCGAAGCCGUAGCGAAAGCGAGUCUGAAUAGGGCGCUUAGUCAGAUGCUGCAGACCCGAAACGAAGUGAUCUAUCCAUGAGCAAGUUGAAGCUAGUGUAAGAACUAGUGGAGGACUGAACCCAUAGGCGUUGAAAAGCCCCGGGAUGACUUGUGGAUAGGGGUGAAAGGCCAAUCAAACUUCGUGAUAGCUGGUUCUCUCCGAAAUAUAUUUAGGUAUAGCGUUGUGUCGUAAUAUAAGGGGGUAGAGCACUGAAUGGGCUAGGGCAUACACCAAUGUACCAAACCCUAUCAAACUCCGAAUACCUUAUAUGUAAUCACAGCAGUCAGGCGGCGAGUGAUAAAAUCCGUCGUCAAGAGGGAAACAACCCAGACUACCAGCUAAGGUCCCUAAAUCUUACUUAAGUGGAAAACGAUGUGAAGUUACUUAAACAACCAGGAGGUUGGCUUAGAAGCAGCCAUCCUUUAAAGAAAGCGUAAUAGCUCACUGGUCUAGUGAUUUUGCGCGGAAAAUAUAACGGGGCUAAAGUAAGUACCGAAGCUGUAGACUUAGUUUACUAAGUGGUAGGAGAGCGUUCUAUUUGCGUCGAAGGUAUACCGGUAAGGAGUGCUGGAGCGAAUAGAAGUGAGCAUGCAGGCAUGAGUAGCGAUAAUUAAUGUGAGAAUCAUUAACGCCGUAAACCCAAGGUUUCCUACGCGAUGCUCGUCAUCGUAGGGUUAGUCGGGUCCUAAGUCGAGUCCGAAAGGGGUAGACGAUGGCAAAUUGGUUAAUAUUCCAAUACCAACAUUAGUGUGCGAUGGAAGGACGCUUAGGGCUAAGGGGGCUAGCGGAUGGAAGUGCUAGUCUAAGGUCGUAGGAGGUUAUACAGGAAAAUCCGUAUAACAAUACUCCGAGAACUGAAAGGCUUUUUGAAGUCUUCGGAUGGAUAGAAGAACCCCUGAUGCCGUCGAGCCAAGAAAAGUUUCUAAGUUUAGCUAAUGUUGCCCGUACCGUAAACCGACACAGGUGGGUGGGAUGAGUAUUCUAAGGCGCGUGGAAGAACUCUCUUUAAGGAACUCUGCAAAAUAGCACCGUAUCUUCGGUAUAAGGUGUGGUUAGCUUCGUACUAGGAUUUACUCCGAAAGCGAAGAAACUUACAACAAAGAGUCCCUCCCGACUGUUUACCAAAAACACAGCACUCUGCUAACUCGUAAGAGGAUGUAUAGGGUGUGACGCCUGCCCGGUGCUCGAAGGUUAAUUGAUGGGGUUAGCAUUAGCGAAGCUCUUGAUCGAAGCCCGAGUAAACGGCGGCCGUAACUAUAACGGUCCUAAGGUAGCGAAAUUCCUUGUCGGUUAAAUACCGACCUGCAUGAAUGGCGUAACGAGAUGGGAGCUGUCUCAAAGAGGGAUCCAGUGAAAUUGUAGUGGAGGUGAAAAUUCCUCCUACCCGCGGCAAGACGGAAAGACCCCGUGGACCUUUACUACAGCUUGACACUGCUACUUGGAUAAGAAUGUGCAGGAUAGGUGGGAGGCUUUGA